This 279-nucleotide long non-coding RNA is filed under the name Zea mays. Its description in RNAcentral is "long non-coding RNA (ZMAY_LNC005230)". Lineage: Eukaryota; Viridiplantae; Streptophyta; Magnoliopsida; Poales; Poaceae. The record is from RNAcentral.
CCACAGCACUACACUACGCUUCAAAUUCUAAACUAUUUACACGGCAGAUUCGCUGGCGUCGAGUCCCACCGAACCAUCAUUCGCCAUGAACUAAGAGCAGGCAGAUAUAUUCCCUGAACCGCGCAUCAGAACCUUCAGCCAGCACCUAGCACAACACCGGUCACCAAAGCUCAGUUCUUCACACGUAUGAGUCAAGAUAGUCGAAUCCGCGGAUCAUCCUGUACUGCAACAGGCUGGCAUAGACGCGGUCGCACACUCCGAUGAACAGGGACUCGUCGU